GAUGAACGCUGGCGGCGUGCCUAAUACAUGCAAGUCGAGCGAACGGACGAGAAGCUUGCUUCGCGGAUGUGAGCGGCGGACGGGUGAGUAACACGUGUAUAACCUACCUAUAUGUCUGGGAUAUCUUGGGGAAACCGUAUCUAAUACCGUAGAAUAUUUUGAUCCGCGGUGUGCAAAAGUGAAAGACGGUCUUGCUGUCACUAAUAGAGGCAUCUGGGCUGCAUGAGCUAGUUGGUAAGGUAACGGCUUACGAAGGCAACGAUGCAUAGCCGACCUGAGAGAGUGAUAGCCGACACUGGAAGUGAGACACGGUCAUGGGUACUACGGGAGGCAGCAGUAGGGAAUCUUACGCAAUGGGCGGGAGCAUGACGGAGCGACGCCGCGUGAGUGAUGACGGUCUUCGGAUCGUAAAACUCUGUUAUUAGGGAAGAACAGAUGUGUAAGUAAAUGUGCACAUAUUGACGGUACCUAAUAAGAAAGCAACGGCUAACUACGUG
RNAcentral lists this ribosomal RNA (497 nucleotides) under uncultured bacterium. Its description in RNAcentral is "partial 16S ribosomal RNA". It matches the Rfam family "Bacterial small subunit ribosomal RNA", at positions 28 to 507 of the family's 1533-position model. The record is from RNAcentral.